GUAGGUGGCAGGCGUUGUCCGGAAUUAUUGGGCGUAAAGCGCGCGCAGGCGGUUCUUUAAGUCUGAUGUGAAAGCCCACGGCUCAACCGUGGAGGGUCAUUGGAAACUGGAGAACUUGAGUACAGAAGAGGAAAGCGGAAUUCCACGUGUAGCGGUGAAAUGCGUAGAGAUGUGGAGGAACACCAGUGGCGAAGGCGGCUUUCUGGUCUGUAACUGACGCUGAGGCGCGAAAGCGUGGGGAGCAAACAGGAUUAGAUACCCUGGUAGUCCACGCCGUAAACGAUGAGUGCUAAGUGUUAGGGGGGUUUCCGCCCCCCUUAGUGCUGCAGCUAGCGCAUUAAGCACUCCCGCCUGGGAGUGCGGCCGCAAGGCUG
Molecule: ribosomal RNA, 374 nt
Filed under: uncultured organism
Description: partial 16S ribosomal RNA
Rfam family: Bacterial small subunit ribosomal RNA
Source: RNAcentral